This 346-nucleotide ribosomal RNA is filed under the name uncultured fungus. RNAcentral's name for it is "SSU rRNA". It matches the Rfam family "Eukaryotic small subunit ribosomal RNA", at positions 20 to 370 of the family's 1831-position model. Lineage: Eukaryota; Fungi. The record is from RNAcentral.
GUAGUCAUAUGCUUGUCUCAAAGAUUAAGCCAUGCAUGUCUAAGUAUAAGCAAUCUAUACAGUGAAACUGCGAAUGGCUCAUUAAAUCAGUUAUCGUUUAUUUGAUAGUACCUUACUACUUGGAUAACCGUGGUAAUUCUAGAGCUAAUACAUGCUAAAAACCCCGACCUCUGGAAGGGGUGUAUUUAUUAGAUAAAAAACCAAUGCCUUCGGGCUUCUUGGUGAUUCAUGAUAACUUUACGAAUCGCAUGGCCUUGUGCCGGCGAUGGUUCAUUCAAAUUUCUGCCCUAUCAACUUUCGAUGGUAGGAUAGUGGCCUACCAUGGUUUCAACGGGUAACGGGGAAU